Molecule: long non-coding RNA, 797 nt
Organism: Photinus pyralis (common eastern firefly)
Lineage: Eukaryota; Metazoa; Arthropoda; Insecta; Coleoptera; Lampyridae
Exons: 3
Source: RefSeq, a predicted model, not a curated record
ACCAUAUGCUGUAAAUGUUACUUAUAACAUACAAUAAUUAUAAUUAUUCUUCGAUAGGCAAAGUGCUUGUUGUAUUGUUUCGACUUCAAUUAUGUAAAUAAAUAAGAUUCCAGAAUCAGCAGGAUUCUAAGCAAUCACUGUAAUAUAGGCGUUUAAAGAUGUGUCACAAUCCCCAACGGAGUACAUCAGUCAUGACACAAGACCCACAUGGUCCUGGCAUAAUCGCCUGAUAAUGCAAUAAAGAGCGGUCAUUAAUUCGAGAUCAAUCACGUAAUGGAAAAGUUGCGGUCCAAAUCCAAAAUGUACGCGCGAGCGAAAGUAAUAAAACCCCUUUGUUUGGUUUGUGUGCACUUUCAAGAUAAGAAAUAAAUAAUUCAAAUGGCGCACAGUAGCUGUAAUUCGAGAAAUAUCCUUUUCGGUGUCGUGCUUCGCAAGAGUCAAAAGGAAUAUAACGACUGUCGGGCCGGGAUAUGUCGCAUAAAACGUACUAAAACUCCAUAAUCCAAGCCGUUCUUCUUAAUCCACGUCAGCCGUAUUUAAUAGCGCCGUUUUGGGAUUUAAACGAUUAUCAUUUCUUUGCAUUCGUUAAAUGUUUUUAAUUACACUUCUAGCAGAUUUAUAAAGAGUAUCAUGUACGGAUUACUGUUGAUGAGGGGAUAUCUACAGGAAUUUAAAUUACAUAAAUUAGAUCAGUAGGUAGGUAUAUUUGAUGAAAUUAUUAACACCUGCAAUCGAAAUUAUAGUUAAGACAAAUGGAAAUCUGGUUGAAAAUUAAAGAAGGCUGUAUUGUAAUGAUG